GCACCGGUGGGCCGGGCCUAUAGCCGGUGCCUGGCGGGGGCGCAAGCGGAACGUUGCGGUGCCCGGCCCACGGUCCGGGGCCGCGAUGGUGCAC
RNAcentral lists this transfer RNA (94 nucleotides) under Methylobacterium brachiatum. RNAcentral describes it as "tRNA-Arg". Lineage: Bacteria; Pseudomonadati; Pseudomonadota; Alphaproteobacteria; Hyphomicrobiales; Methylobacteriaceae. The record is from RNAcentral.